RNAcentral lists this ribosomal RNA (380 nucleotides) under uncultured eukaryote. RNAcentral describes it as "SSU rRNA". It matches the Rfam family "Eukaryotic small subunit ribosomal RNA", at positions 587 to 972 of the family's 1831-position model. The record is from RNAcentral.
AGCUCCAAUAGCGUAUAUUAAAGUUGUUGCGGGUAAAAAGUUCGUAGUUGGAUUUCUGUUGAGGACGACCGGUCCGCCCUCUGGGUGAGUAUCUGGCUCGGCCUUGGCAUCUUCUUGGAGAACGUAACUGCAUUUGACUGUGUGGUGCGGUAUCCAGGACUUAUACUUUGAGGAAAUUAGAGUGUUUCAAGCAGGCGUACGCCUUGAAUACAUUAGCAUGGAAUAAUGAGAUAGGACAUUGGUUCUAUUUUGUUGGUUUCUAGAGCUGAGGUAAUGAUUAAUAGGGAUAGUUGGGGCAUUCGUAUUUAAUUGUCAGAGGUGAAAUUCUUGGAUUUAUUAAAGACUGACUACUGCGAAAGCAUUUGCCAAGGAUGUUUUCA